UACGUAGGGCGCAAGCGUUAUCCGGAAUUAUUGGGCGUAAAGAGCUCGUAGGCGGUUUGUCGCGUCUGCCGUGAAAGUCCGGGGCUCAACUCCGGAUCUGCGGUGGGUACGGGCAGACUAGAGUGAUGUAGGGGAGACUGGAAUUCCUGGUGUAGCGGUGAAAUGCGCAGAUAUCAGGAGGAACACCAAUGGCGAAGGCAGGUCUCUGGGCAUUAACUGACGCUGAGGAGCGAAAGCAUGGGGAGCGAACAGG
This 253-nucleotide ribosomal RNA is filed under the name uncultured bacterium. Its description in RNAcentral is "partial 16S ribosomal RNA". It matches the Rfam family "Bacterial small subunit ribosomal RNA", at positions 524 to 776 of the family's 1533-position model. The record is from RNAcentral.